AUUGAACGCUGGCGGAAUGCUUUACACAUGCAAGUCGAGCGGCAGCGCGGGGGCAACCCUGGCGGCGAGCGGCGAACGGGUGAGUAAUACAUCGGAACGUGUCCUUAAGUGGGGGAGUAGCUCGGCGAAAGCCGGAUUAAUACCGCAUAAGCUCUGAGGAGGAAAGCGGGGGCUCCGUAAGGACCUCGCGCUGUUGGAGCGGCCGAUGUCGGAUUAGCUAGUUGGUGGGGUAAAGGCCCACCCAAGGCGACGAUCCGUAGCUGGUCUGAGAGGAUGAUCAGCCACACUGGGACUGAGACACGGCCCAGACUCCUACGGGAGGCAGCAGUGGGGAAUUUUGGACAAUGGGGGCGAACCCUGAUCCAGCCAUGCCGCGUGCGGGAAGAAGCCU
This 391-nucleotide ribosomal RNA is filed under the name uncultured bacterium. Its description in RNAcentral is "bacterial SSU rRNA". It matches the Rfam family "Bacterial small subunit ribosomal RNA", at positions 28 to 416 of the family's 1533-position model. The record is from RNAcentral.